CGGGCAUGCACGUGCCCAGAGCCACGGUAAUAAGUAGGGUGGAAGCGUGAAUCGGAAUGACUGGGCGUAAAGCGUGCGCAGGCGGUUUGAAAAGUCAGCUGUGAAAGCCCCGGGCUCAACCUGGGAACUGCGGUUGAAACUCUCAAGCUAGAGUGCGUCAGAGGGGGGUGGAAUUCCACGUGUAGCAGUGAAAUGCGUAGAGAUGUGGAGGAACACCAAUGGCGAAGGCAGCCCCCUGGGAUGACACUGACGCUCAUGCACGAAAGCGUGGGGAGCAAACAGGAUUAGAUACCCUAGUAUC
This 301-nucleotide ribosomal RNA is filed under the name uncultured bacterium. Its description in RNAcentral is "bacterial SSU rRNA". It matches the Rfam family "Bacterial small subunit ribosomal RNA", at positions 494 to 794 of the family's 1533-position model. The record is from RNAcentral.